Molecule: long non-coding RNA, 1006 nt
Filed under: Equus asinus (donkey)
Lineage: Eukaryota; Metazoa; Chordata; Mammalia; Perissodactyla; Equidae
Description: lncRNA (ENSEASG00005030581.1)
Source: RNAcentral
UCCCUAGCAGGGCUUCCUUCCACUUGUACACAUACCAAAAAAAAGGGCUUGCUGAAUUAAUGAACCACUUCUCUUAUCUAUUUUUCCUGUUAUCUAAUUCCGAGGGGAAAGCUGGGAGCUCUGAGGGAGCUGGGAGACGCAGCUCACAAGCCUCCCUCCCACCCGCUGAGAACAGCCUGGAAUCCCCGGGACUGAGGAACUAAGACUGUCCCUGAGAGUUUGCCUGGCGCCGGUGUGAGGAGCCACUGGGACAUCGCUCCCACCGUGGCAGGACCUGCCCUGCUCCACCCUGUUUCUCCGAGCUCCAUCCGCGGGGGUCUGCGCAGGGGCAGUGCGGGCCACGAGAGCGAGGACCGAGUGUCGCAGAGGGAGGAGGAAUCGUGCCCCAGGCCCAGCGCGGGAGGGAAUUCGAGGGCUGUGUGCGCCAGGAGCCGGCUUACGUUCGGCGCGGGUGACUUUGCAUGUCUAUUCUGGAGCCCUUGAGCGCCAGUCCGCAGAGAAGCGUCUACAGCGCUGAGGAAUUCGUUACACAGGACCAGGGGAGACUUCUGUAGUCCCUUGUCUGGUUCUCUCUCUCUGGGGGCUUCUUGUUCUCGAUUAUAAGACUUUGGGGGUCCCGUGUUUUUUCAGAGGUCGUUGGUUUGGGGGCAUAGCCGGCGGCCGCGGAGGCUGAUUUCCACAGCGUGUCCAGCCGCUCAUCAGCUGGAAAUUGAGGUCGUGGCGCCCGGCAUUGCGCUGCGCUUAAAGCCACCCGCUCGGGUCCCGCUAGGAAAUCAGGGGAACCCCGCGCAGGGAGACCCUCGCUAGUGUCACUGUGAGCUACAUCGUCCACUGUUUAUUAACUAUUUUUUCGGGGAACUAGAGUUCGCUUUCCUCUGUGCAUCACGUCCAGCCUACAACUGCGUCUCUAUUAGGGUACGGACCGGCUCAAGUCCCAGAGGCCCUAAUGGAGCAAGGAAAUGCAACUUAUUCUUGUAUCCUGGAGAGAUUUUUUUUUUAAACGUAC